This 1390-nucleotide long non-coding RNA is filed under the name Capsicum annuum. RNAcentral's name for it is "long non-coding RNA (CANN_LNC007776)". Lineage: Eukaryota; Viridiplantae; Streptophyta; Magnoliopsida; Solanales; Solanaceae. The record is from RNAcentral.
GGGUUUCAACAUAAAAACCCCAAUAGCUAGAGAUUCAACCGUGGGAAUUAUAUAAUUUUUACAUAUUCAGAAUCCCCAUUAUAAAGGCUACGAGGGACAUCCAAAAGUUCGUGACUAGCAUUACGUCAUUUGGAAAGUCAUUCAAAGCUUCAACUUUGAGGUAUGUGGGGUUUUUCAACAAGAACACUCUUUCGUUCUUGUGCCGAAAGUUCUUGUGCCUAAAAAUACUUUCUUUUACGAAGUUAUGGAUUUCUUAUGUUUUACUAUGAUUUUGAAGAAUGAACUUAUAUCCUAUAUUGAUUAUCACGAGAUUAUGAUAUUUUUGAUAUUUUAGAAGCGGAAUUAUAUGAGAAUGAUGAUAUUUUCUGCCUUAUAAAUGAAUUUUCCAGAUUUUGAAGGAAUUUAUAUAUGUUUAUGAUGUAAAGCUUGAAUCUUGAUAAGUUUUAAUGUGAUAUUGAGACAUGAGUUUUGUACUCUAUUUGAGAUUGUUGUUUUUAAGAAAUCAUGUGUUAUAAACACCUUGAGUUUGAAUGAUUUGAGAUGAUGAAGAAGCUUUGACCUUUCAGUCGUAAAAAGGGGUGUUUUUGAACCCGAGAUGAGAAAAAAAAUGCACUUUUAUUGAUUAUUAUAAAAAGGGUAGCAAGAUGGCUCCCGUUGUGAAUUGUUGAACUGUUUAUUAGUGGAUUUUCUUUUCAAAAGAUCUAAACUAAGUCCGGGAGUAGUCUUUAGCACCGAGCGGGAGGUAUAGCUGUUUUGGUACUUCCCUAGAACUACGUGCCCCCGUAGGAUAUGAGCCUGAGGAUGAUUUAUAUAGUGAUCACUAGUGUUUGGAUUGAUAAUUUAAGGUCCUACUCCGAUGGUAAGGAAUAGGUAGACCCUCCCAACGUGGGUAGAACAUUGGACUCCAUGUAGCUCACAUGUUUAUGUCGGUUAUGAGAGACUCCCAAUGUGUGUGUGUGUACUCUUCUAUCUAAGAUGAAAAUAUAUUCGCUUGAAAGACUGAGUUUGAGAAAGUUGUUGUUUUCGAAAGAUUGAAAUGAUAUAUUCUAAAGAGAAUUGUUAUGAGAUUUGAUUGCUUUGAUGAUUUGAAAAUGAGAUGAGAUUGAAUUGAGAACUUAUUGUAAUGACUCACUUAUUUUAUUUUACAUGUAUUAUUCAUCCAUGAUUUCAAUGAUUUAAUUCGAGCUAAGUGAGUCAUUUAUAUCAGCAUGCAUAAUUUUAUAAACUGUGAUGAUAUUAAGAUAUUAUUUUAUAUAUGCAUUGCACCUCCAUAUGCUUGGUACGUUUCCAUGGUACUAACCCACGUAUUCAUAUGUGGGCUACAUUUUCUCAGAAUGUAGGUACAAGGUAUGUGUACAUCUUCAGAUCCAGUCAGUUCGCGGCAUCCAAU